ACUCCUACGGGAGGCAGCAGUGAGGAAUAUUGGUCAAUGGACGGAAGUCUGAACCAGCCAAAUCGCGUGAAGGAAGACAGGCCUAUGGGUUGUAAACUUCUUUUAUAUGGGAAUAAAGUGCGCUACGUGUAGCGUUUUGUAUGUACCAUAUGAAUAAGGACCGGCUAACUCCGUGCCAGCAGCCGCGGUAAUA
This 193-nucleotide ribosomal RNA is filed under the name uncultured bacterium. RNAcentral describes it as "partial 16S ribosomal RNA". It matches the Rfam family "Bacterial small subunit ribosomal RNA", at positions 335 to 525 of the family's 1533-position model. The record is from RNAcentral.